RNAcentral lists this long non-coding RNA (483 nucleotides) under Bos taurus (domestic cattle). Its description in RNAcentral is "long non-coding RNA NONBTAT018672". Lineage: Eukaryota; Metazoa; Chordata; Mammalia; Artiodactyla; Bovidae. The record is from RNAcentral.
GGAGGCAGAAUUUUCCCAGCAUCCUCAUACUAUGUCCCCUCAGGACUUACUGAGCUGAGAGCAAUGGCCACCCUUAGGCCAGUGCUCCCGCCUUUCCUGAGCUCACAGCAUCUGCACACAAAUAGACUGGGGUUCUGUUAGCAGGGAAAUGUUGAGGGCUGUGUGGAAUCCUAUUUUCACAGAAGUGAACUGGUUUAAAAAAAAGCAAAAGUUCAACUUUAAUGGAUAUGAUUAGCUUAUAAAACUUUGUAAUAUGUGUUAGGAGAUUCAGGAUUUGCAAGACCCCAAUUAAGGUGUUAAGAUUCUGCUGGUUUUAAGCUGGGUAGAAAUGUUUUUGUGACUAUAUGUCUCUUUAUUGUGUGUGUGUGAAGGUUUUUUUCCUCCUUUUCUCUUUUGAGUGGCAGAAGCAAAGAGGAGGAAGAGUUAAAGUAGGAAAAUAUUUUCUGGAGUUAGUGCAAGGCUCUGAAAUGCUGCAACCCUGAC